GCAGGCUGCAACUCGCCUGCAUGAAGCUGGAAUUGCUAGUAAUCGCGGAUCAGCAAGCCGCGGUGAAUACGUUCCCGGGCCUUGUACACACCGCCCGUCACACCAUGAGAGUCGGGAACACCCGAAGUCCGUAGUCUAACCGCAAGGGGGGCGCGGCCGAAGGGUGGGUUCGAUAAUUGGGGUGAAGUCGUAACAAGGUAUC
RNAcentral lists this ribosomal RNA (202 nucleotides) under uncultured bacterium. Its description in RNAcentral is "partial 16S ribosomal RNA". It matches the Rfam family "Bacterial small subunit ribosomal RNA", at positions 1300 to 1500 of the family's 1533-position model. The record is from RNAcentral.